AUAUCAAUAAGCGGAGGAAAAGAAACCAACAGGGAUUGCCCUAGUAACGGCGAGUGAAGCGGCAACAGCUCAAAUUUGAAAUCUGGCUUCGGCCCGAGUUGUAAUUUGUAGAGGAUGCUUUUGGCGCGGUGCCUUCUGAGUUCCCUGGAACGGGACGCCAUAGAGGGUGAGAGCCCCGUAUAGUUGGACACCAAGCCUUUGUAAAGCUCCUUCGACGAGUCGAGUAGUUUGGGAAUGCUGCUCAAAAUGGGAGGUAAAUUUCUUCUAAAGCUAAAUACCGGCCAGAGACCGAUAGCGCACAAGUAGAGUGAUCGAAAGAUGAAAAGCACUUUGAAAAGAGGGUUAAAUAGCACGUGAAAUUGUUGAAAGGGAAGCGCUUAUGACCAGACUUGUUCUAGGUUGAUCAUCCAGUGUUCUCACUGGUGCACUCUGCCUAGAUCAGGCCAGCGUCGGUUUUCGUAGGGGGAUAAAGGCUUCGGGAAUGUGGCUCCUCCGGGAGUGUUAUAGCCCGUUGCAUAAUACCCUUAUGGGGACCGAGGUACGCGCUCUGCAAGA
This 555-nucleotide ribosomal RNA is filed under the name Cordana ellipsoidea. Its description in RNAcentral is "eukaryotic LSU rRNA". It matches the Rfam family "Eukaryotic large subunit ribosomal RNA", at positions 40 to 607 of the family's 3401-position model. The record is from RNAcentral. Lineage: Eukaryota; Fungi; Ascomycota; Sordariomycetes; Coniochaetales; Cordanaceae.